UACGUAGGGGGCAAGCGUUGUCCGGAAUCAUUGGGCGUAAAGAGCGCGUAGGCGGCCCGAUAAGUCCGCUGUGAAAGUCCAGGGCUCAACCCUUGAAUGCCGGUGGAUACUGUCGGGCUAGAGUCCGGAAGAGGCGAGUGGAAUUCCUGGUGUAGCGGUGAAAUGCGCAGAUAUCAGGAGGAACACCAGCGGCGAAGGCGCUGCUCUGGGCCGGUACUGACGCUGAGGAGCGAAAGCGUGGGGAGCGAACAGG
Molecule: ribosomal RNA, 253 nt
Filed under: uncultured bacterium
Lineage: Bacteria
Description: partial 16S ribosomal RNA
Rfam family: Bacterial small subunit ribosomal RNA
Source: RNAcentral